RNAcentral lists this ribosomal RNA (447 nucleotides) under uncultured bacterium. RNAcentral's name for it is "bacterial SSU rRNA". It matches the Rfam family "Bacterial small subunit ribosomal RNA", at positions 329 to 793 of the family's 1533-position model. The record is from RNAcentral.
UUCCAGACUCCUACGGGAGGCAGCAGUGGGGGAUAUUGCACAAUGGGGGAAACCCUGAUGCAGCGACGCCGCGUGGGUGAAGAAGCGCCUCGGCGCGUAAAGCCCUGUCAGCAGGGAAGAAAAUGACGGUACCUGAAGAAGAAGCCCCGGCUAACUACGUGCCAGCAGCCGCGGUAAUACGUAGGGGGCAAGCGUUAUCCGGAUUCACUGGGUGUAAAGGGAGCGUAGACGGCGACGCAAGUCUGGAGUGAAAGCCCGGGGCCCAACCCCGGGACUGCUCUGGAAACUGCGUCGCUGGAGUACGGGAGGGGCAGGCGGAAUUCCUAGUGUAGCGGUGAAAUGCGUAGAUAUUAGGAGGAACACCGGUGGCGAAGGCGGCCUGCUGGACUGUGACUGACGUUGAGGCCCGAAGGCGUGGGGAGCAAACAGGAUUAGAUACCCCCGUAU